Molecule: ribosomal RNA, 974 nt
Filed under: uncultured organism
Description: bacterial SSU rRNA
Rfam family: Bacterial small subunit ribosomal RNA
Source: RNAcentral
ACACGUGAGUCACCCGCCCUGAAGUGGGGGACAGCCCGGGGAAACUCGGAUUAAUACCGCAUGUGAUCGCAAGAUCAAAGGUGGCGCAAGCUGCCGCUUCAGGAUGGGCUCGCGGCCUAUCAGUUAGUUGGUGAGGUAACGGCUCACCAAGGCGAUGACGGGUAACUGGUCUGAGAGGAUGAUCAGUCACACUGGAACUGAGACACGGUCCAGACACCUACGGGUGGCAGCAGUCGAGAAUCAUUCACAAUGGGGGCAACCCUGAUGGUGCGACGCCGCGUGGAGGACGAAGGCCCUAGGGUCGUAAACUCCUGUCAUCAAGGAGUAAGGGCUUCACCAGUAACUGGGUGGGGCAUUGAUAGUACUUGAAGAGGAAGGGACGGCUAACUUCGUGCCAGCAGCCGCGGUAAUACGAAGGUCCCGAGCGUUGUUCGGAUUUACUGGGCGUAAAGAGUCUGUAGGCGGUUGGGUAAGUCAGAUGUGAAAUCCCGGGGCUCAACUCCGGAACUGCAUCCGAUACUGCCUGACUAGAGUGUUGGAGGGGAAUCUGGAAUUCUCGGUGUAGCAGUGAAAUGCGUAGAUAUCGAGAGGAACACUAGUGGCGAAGGCGAGAUUCUGGACAACUACUGACGCUGAGAGACGAAGGCCAGGGUAGCGAAAAGGAUUAGAUACCCUUGUAGUCCUGGCAGUAAACGUUGCACGCUUGGUGUGGGGGGAUUCGACCCCCUCCGUGCCGGAGCUAACGCGUUAAGCGUGCCGCCUGGGGAGUACGGUCGCAAGAUUAAAACUCAAAGAAAUUGACGGGGACCCGCACAAGCGGUGGAGCAUGUGGCUUAAUUCGAUGCAACGCGAAGAACCUUACCUGGGCUUGACAUGUUAGUCGUAGAUUUGUGAAAGCUUAUCGUCACUUCGGGUGGACUAUCACAGGUGCUGCAUGGCUGUCGUCAGCUCGUGUCGUGAGAUGUUUGGUUAAG